RNAcentral lists this ribosomal RNA (336 nucleotides) under Carapoia fowleri. RNAcentral describes it as "partial 12S ribosomal RNA". Lineage: Eukaryota; Metazoa; Arthropoda; Arachnida; Araneae; Pholcidae. The record is from RNAcentral.
UUUUAUAAGUUUAUGGUAGUAAAAUUUAAUCAAACCUCUAAAACUUGGCGGUUAUAAUUUACUAAAGAAACUUGUUUUAUAAUCGACAACACCCGAUAAUUUUAACUUUACGCUAUAUAAUUUAUAUACCGCCGUUAAUUUAAAGAAAUAAAAUCAAAUAAAUCUCUCAAUCGAAAACUCACAAAAAUCAGGUCAAGGUGUAACACACGCAAAAGGAAAAAUAAGUUACAUAUAAAUAUAAUUUAAGGAAUUAAUUCAUAAAAAUAAAUAAAGAAAAAGAAUUUAUAAAUAAUUUAUUAAACUAAAAAUUAAAAAAGAAACACUAAAUUAUAAUGC